This is a long non-coding RNA of Canis lupus familiaris (dog), 1536 nucleotides long. RefSeq lists it as uncharacterized. NCBI's taxonomy places the organism in Eukaryota, Metazoa, Chordata, Mammalia, Carnivora, Canidae. The record is from RefSeq and is a predicted model, not a curated record. The transcript has 3 exons.
UCAGGCAAGAAUGGAAGACUUUCUACUCAUUUGCCCUUGCUCUGGGUAUAUUAGAGGCCCUAUGCACCUGGGGUGAUGGGUGGCAAUUGUUAUGACAUCAUACUGGUUUUGAGCUAGCUACUCUGUCUCUCCCUCAGGGAGAAAUUUCCAGUAUGUUCCAGCAGCUGAAUUAGUCCAAUGGCCUGUGGAGAGCUCCUGUAAAUUAUGGCAAAAUUUAGCUGCUGACAUCAUCGUUCACCAUUUUUUUUUCUCCUCAAGACACCAGUCUGUGAAGUAUAUUCUGAUGAGAAUAUGGCACGCUGGCCCAGUUCUUCUCUCUUCCAGAUGCAUCAUUUGCCCAGAUUCCUUUGACAACAAUGAGCUGUGGGACAUACUUGGCUUACCUCCUAAAGUAAGAGUCAAGGUCAUCCUCUGAAAUGGAUUUUCUUGCAAAAUGGAAAUUGGAAGGGGUGACUCCUGCGUCAUUUCUCAGCAUCUCAGCAACACCAGAGGGGAUAGGAGGUCCUUCACUCUUCUCCAGUCAAGCCAGGGUCCUUUGCACCUCCAAAUAUGUUUGCCAAUCAGCUUGGAAAUUUCUAUAAGAAGUCUGCUGGGAUUUUGAUUGAGAUUGCAAUGAAUCUGUAGAAUAACUUGAGGAGAUACAACAUCUUCAACAAGAUUGAAUCUUCUGAUGCACAAACAUGGUGUAUUUACCCAUUUAUUUAGGUCUUCUUUAAUUUCUCUCUGUAAUGUUUUGUAGUUUCCAAUAUAAAGAUAUUGCAUACAUUUAAUCAAAUUUAUUCCUAAGUGUUUUUAUUUUUAAUGUUAUAAACAUAACUGUUUUUUUUUCUCAAUUUCAUUUUCUGAAAUGAAAUUUUGUUGUUAGUAUAUAGCGAUGGAAUUGAUUUUUGUAUGCUGACCUUGAUGCCUGCGGCCUUACUAAAUUCGCCUACUAGUUCUAGGAGCAUUUAUGUGGAUUCUUUGAGGUAUUAAAGAUUCAUGGUUUGAUUAUCCAAAAAUAUAGAUGGUUGAUUUCCUCCUUUCCAAACUGCAUGUCUUUGCUUACUUUUCUUGCCUAUUGCAUUAGGAUCUCUAGUAAAUGAUAGAAUAGAAGUAGAGGUGCCGACUAAGGUGUCGACUAAGACUAAGGCCUAUCUCGAAAUAGGCAGACAAUUGCUUUAUUUGCUGUCAUACUGAGGAGACAAUAUAUCAGAUGGCUCUGAUAGAACUGCUUCCGAAGCUUAUCAGUUUACCAGUGAUUAUAUGAAGAAAGGGAAAGGAGUGUACGUGCUUGCAAGCAGUUCUCCAGGAUGUCAUUGCACAUCACAAGGUAUAAUUUAUUUGGUUGUAAAAAUUAAGGCUUACUGAUUUCCAUGUAGACAUAUGAAAUACCCUUAGGUCACCUAAAUACAUUGUGUCUAUCAUAUCUGAUUAUUUAAAAAUAUUUCCUGCAUGCCUCCAUUCAACUGGUUUUCUGGUUCGUUUUUUGGUUUCUCCUUGAGGUCAUUUGAGAGGGUCACAGGAGGCUAACAUCAGCCACCUACUGUAGUGUGUGGG